AUGUUUCCGGUGGCCGUGAACGCACCACAGGCCACCGAGUCUCCGCUUUCCUGCGCAGUUUGUCCCCAAAUGAGCGCAGAACUGUUUCACUUUCACAAAAAAGAAGAACUAACUUCACGUUCAUCUGACAGCCCAACAUUUAAGAGGAAGGCGGGCAGAAAGGCCGCCUACGGCGAGCCCAGGAGGUCAAAAAGAACAAAUCAGAGCCAAGAAACGGAGCUGGGGCCGUGUAGGAGAGAACCAGAGGAGACGAAAUGGCCAAACUCGGAGGAUCUUCAGAGAGUUUUACUGAGGGUGGCCAGAAAACCCAAACUGUGCCGGUGUUUUACCGGACAGACCGGGAGGAAACCAACCAGUAAAACACAGACAGCAGGACAACGAAUUGGGCAUACAUUUCACACUUUCGUGGGCCUGAUGGGUAAAAGGCUCGAUGAUCAAGGUAUGCCAACCAUGUCUUAUUUUCUGCCUAUAUCUACCUGGUAA
RNAcentral lists this long non-coding RNA (483 nucleotides) under Oryzias sinensis (Chinese medaka). RNAcentral describes it as "lncRNA (ENSOSIG00000012443.1)". Lineage: Eukaryota; Metazoa; Chordata; Actinopteri; Beloniformes; Adrianichthyidae. The record is from RNAcentral.